GACGAACGCUGGCGGCGUGCCUAAUACAUGCCAGUAGAACGCACAGUUUAUACCGUAGCUUGCUACACCAUAAACUGUGAGUUGCGAACGGGUGAGUAACGCGUAGGUAACCUGCCUGGUAGCGGGGGAUAACUAUUGGAAACGAUAGCUAAUACCGCAUAAUAUUGAUUAUUGCAUGAUAAUUGAUUGAAAGAUGCUAUUGCAUUACUACCAGAUGGACCUGCGUUGUAUUAGCUAGUAGGUGAGGUAACGGCUCAACUAGGCGACGAUACAUAGCCGACCUGAGAGGGUGAACGGCCACACUGGGACUGAGACACGGCCCAGACCCCUACGGGAGGCAGCAGGAGGGAAUCUUCGGCAAUGGACGAAAGUCUGACCGAGCCACGCCGCGUGAGGGAAGAAGGGUUUCGGGUCGGAAAGCUCUGUUGUAAGAGAAGAACGGGUGUGAGAGUGGAAAGUUCACACUGUGACGGUAUCUUACCAGAAAGGGACGGCUAACUACGUG
This 505-nucleotide ribosomal RNA is filed under the name uncultured bacterium. RNAcentral's name for it is "partial 16S ribosomal RNA". It matches the Rfam family "Bacterial small subunit ribosomal RNA", at positions 28 to 507 of the family's 1533-position model. The record is from RNAcentral.